RNAcentral lists this long non-coding RNA (2991 nucleotides) under Salmo salar (Atlantic salmon). RNAcentral describes it as "lncRNA (ENSSSAG00000122226.1)". Lineage: Eukaryota; Metazoa; Chordata; Actinopteri; Salmoniformes; Salmonidae. The record is from RNAcentral.
GAGAGAGAGAGAGAGAGAGAGAGAGAGAGAGAGAGGAUUAGGCUGUGGUGAGAGAGACUACUGUCUCUGAGCGUGGCUGAGAGAGAGAGAGAGAGAGAGAGAGAGAGAGAGAGAGAGAGAGAGGACUAGGCUGUGGUGAGAGAGACUACUGUCUCUGAGCGUGGCUGAGAGAGAGAGAGAGAGAGAGAGAGAGAGAGAGAGAGAGGACUAGGCUGUGGUGAGAGAGACUACUGUCUCUAGGCUUUAUAACCGAGCCACCACGACCAAACCAAAAUGUCGUCUCUGUCUCUGACACAGUGUGUCAUCAGGGAAGUAAACACCUCGUUAUAUAUAUAGAAAACAAAACAAACGCCAAAUGGGGAUUUUAUUUUCGUAUAUUGUACCGUCUCUGUUUAGUCGUAUGUUUACUACAUAAAAAUAAUACAUAUUGAUGCAUUAAAUGCACCUCUGAGACUAUGUAUAUAUUUCCUAAUAUUAGGCCUAUUAAUAUUUAUUGCUCUGAAAGAAACAAAGCAGAUUUUAUUUUGAAGUCAAAUAUAGAAACAUCUGGUACUACCCCUCCUCUCAGGUCCAUGAGUACAGAACUACCCCUCCUCUCAGGUCCAUGAGAAGAACAGAACUACUCCUCCUCUCAGGUCCAUGAGAAGAACAGAACUACCCCUCCUCUCAGGUCCAUGAGAAGAACAGAACUACCCCUCCUCUCAGGUCCAUGAGAACAGAACUACCCCUCCUCUCAGGUCCAUGAGAACAGAACUACCCCUCCUCUCAGGUCCAUGAGAACAGAACUACCCCUCCUCUCAGGUCCAUGAGAACAGAACUACUCCUCCUCUCAGGUCCAUGAGAACAGAACUACCCCUCCUCUCAGGUCCAUGAGAACAGAACUACCCCUCCUCUCAGGUCCAUGAGUACAGAACUACCCCUCCUCUCAGGUCCAUGAGAAGAACAGAACUACUCCUCCUCUCAGGUCCAUGAGAAGAACAGAACUACCCCUCCUCUCAGGUCCAUGAGAACAGAACUACCCCUCCUCUCAGGUCCAUGAGAAGAACAGAACUACCCCUCCUCUCAGGUCCAUGAGAACAGAACUACCCCUCCUCUCAGGUCCAUGAGAAGAACAGAACUACCCCUCCUCUCAGGUCCAUGAGAACAGAACUACCCCUCCUCUCAGGUCCAUGAGAAGAACAGAACUACCCCUCCUCUCAGGUCCAUGAGAAGAACAGAACUACCCCUCCUCUCAGGUCCAUGAGAACAGAACUACCCCUCCUCUCAGGUCCAUGAGAAGAACAGAACUACCCCUCCUCUCAGGUCCAUGAGAAUAACUGAACUACCCCUCCUCUCAGGUCCAUGAGAAGAACAGAACUACCCCUCCUCUCAGGUCCAUGAGAAGAACUGAACUACCCCUCCUCUCAGGUCCAUGAGAACAGAACUACCCCUCCUCUCAGGUCCAUGAGAAGAACAGGAGACAGAAAGAGACAGACUGGGAACAUUACAUGUCCAGGCUUUGACUGACAGAGGACUGGAAGGGACCCGUUGGGACUAACUCGUUAUCAUGCUAUUGAAGGACAACAACAGCCUUGACUGCCACCAAUAAAUAUAACAAUAUUUUUUAUUUAUUUACAAUAAACUUUUGAAAUAAUUAUAUACACAUCCGGCAACAUUGGAGUACCAGAUGAGGACCGGGGAAGAGACAGAACCAGAACCAGAACCAGGAGACAAUAACAGAAGGACGUCGCCGCCCCAAACCCACACCGAGACAAAGAGGCAGCCCAGAAUCCCCACGUCAGGACAUGCCAAGAAGGCUCCUCUCGACCUGGACAGACAAGACAACCAUGUAUUCUGCAACAGCAGUAUUGGAUCAGGACAGACAGACAGACGGACCGGACGGCCCAAGGAUCUGCCCCGACCACCACCCUUCUGAUCAGGACAGACAGACAGACGGACGGCCCAAGGAUCUGAUCAGGACAGACAGACAGACGGACGGCCUAAGGAUCUGAUCAGGACAGACAGACAGACAGACGGCCUAAGGAUCUGAUCAGGACAGACAGACAGACGGCCUAAGGAUCUGAUCAGGACAGACAGACAGAUGGCUGUCCCAACCACCACCCUUCUGGAAACCUGUGCCUUUAACCAACUCCAUCACAUCCAUUUUGCUUUUGUUUUCUGAUUGUUGUCCAAUUUUGGGUUGGAGCUCUGCUACUGGAUGCAUCUCCCGUACUGUCCUGCCCUCUAGUGGACAACUGGAUACAUCUUCCGUACUGUCCUGCCCCCUGGUGGACAACAGGAUACAUCUCCCGUACUGUCCUGCCCCCUGGUGGACAAGAGGAUACAUCUCCCGUACUGUCCUGCCCUCUAGUGGACAACAGGAUACAUCUCCCGUACUGUCCUGCCCCCUAGUGGACAACUGGAUACAUCUCCCGUACUGUCCUGCCCCCUGGUGGACAACAGGAUACAUCUCCCGUACUGUCCUGCCCUCUAGUGGACAACUGGAUACAUCUUCCGUACUGUCCUGCCCCCUGGUGGACAACAGGAUACAUCUCCCGUACUGUCCUGCCCUCUAGUGGACAACAGGAUACAUCUCCCGUACUGUCCUGCCCCCUGGUGGACAACUGGAUACAUCUCCCGUACUGUCCUGCCCCCUGGUGGACAACUGGAUACAUCUCCCGUACUGUCCUGCCCUCUGGUGGACAACUGGAUAUAUCUCCCGCACUGUCCUGCCCCCUGAUGGACAACAGGAUACAUCUCCCGUACUGUCCUGCCCCCUGGUGGACAACUGGAUACAUCUCCCGUACUGUCCUGCCCCCUGGUGGACAACUGGAUACAUCUCCCGUACUGUCCUGCCCCCUGGUGGACAACAGGAUACAUCUCCCGUACUGUCCUGCCCCCUAGUGGACAACUGGAUACAUCUCCCGUACUGUCCUGCCCCCUAGUGGACAACUGGAUACAUCUCCCGUACUGUCCUGCCCCCUAGUGGACAACUGGAUACAUCUCCCGUAC